AGAGUUAACAUCACUAGCGGUGUUCAGUGCUUUUGGGUGCCAUGCCGUGCAUUGCUUCCUCUCGGGGAGGCGUGUGCGUCGCGGGAGUGCCCUUAGGUACGCUUUCACUGCUGGUAUGCGCCGAAACACUCGGAACCCCCCUGGAACGCUCGUUGCGUGGCCCGCCUCGGCGGUCACCAGCAUGUGGCAGUUACAGUGGAUGGGAUGCCGAGUGGCUGCGAAAGCCUUGUUCUGCGUGUUCCUUUCUGGUGCCUAUGCGCUGCAUGCUUUGUAUAUCGUAAGGUAUACGGGUAUGCUUCGGUGUUCGUGUCAGGGAGAUGAUUCUCGUGGGGCUUGUCUUCGGUGUCGAAACGUUGACCACCUAUCCGACCCGUCUUGAAACACGGACCAAGAAGUUUAGUAAGUAUGCGAGUCAUUGGGGACGAAACCUCAUUGGCGUAGUGAAAGCAAAGUAUAUGCGAUCUGGAGUCUUUGUGGCUUCAGCGCAGCAUAGCCCCAUGCCAGCUGCUUGCAGCGGUGUGGAGGUAGAGCAUACUUACUGAGACCCGAAAGAUGGUGAACUAUGCUUGAGCAGGAUGAAGCCAGGGGAAACUCUGGUGGAAGUCCGUAGCGGUUCUGACGUGCAAAUCGAUCGUAAGACUUGAGUAUAGGGGCGAAAGACUAAUCGAACCAUCUAGUAGCUGGUUCCUACCGAAGUUUCCCCCAGGAUAGCUGGAGUGUAUGAAUGAUGUUAUAUUCGGUAAAGCGAAUGAUUAGAGGCAUUGGGGACGAAAUGUUCUCAACCUAUUCUCAAACUUUCAAUGAGUAUGAUGUUGCGGUUGCUUAAUUGAACUGUGACUUUGAAAUUACGCUCCAAGUGGGCCAUUUUUGGUAAGCAGAACUGGCGAUGCGGGAUGAACCGAACGUUGAGUUAAGGUGCCUAACUUCCCGCUCAUGAGACCCCAUAA
Molecule: ribosomal RNA, 947 nt
Filed under: Diplogasteroides sp. 1 RS5444
Lineage: Eukaryota; Metazoa; Nematoda; Chromadorea; Rhabditida; Diplogasteroididae
Description: eukaryotic LSU rRNA
Rfam family: Eukaryotic large subunit ribosomal RNA
Source: RNAcentral